AGCACGUGUAGUGCGCUGGUACCAUUUAGGCGUCAGAACUUUCAUCUAUGAAGACCCACUUGCUAAUGGCCACCAUGCACAGAAAAGACCAUGAUGUGGAGGACAUAUGUGCUUAGUUAUUAAAGUCGGGACAGAAGAUCAUGCCUUGGUCAAAUCAAAGGAGUUCCCUCAGUCUUUCAGAGAGAUGGCAGAAAGUUCAUUCAACAUGAAGAUGAUGUGCACAUAAUGUAAUCUGGAAUCUAAAGUUAGAGAUAAAAACCUGCAAACUUACUAGCAAAUAAGCCUUUCGGCUUGUUAAUUAUUCUUUGCCGGACACUUCACCUUUAGGAAUGCUCUUUAUUUCUAUCAAUGAUGCAUGUGGUUAUUCAAGAUCAUGUCAUGUGAUAUAAGGAAUUUUGACUUUUGACAGCAUAAGACAAGGGUUUGUGAGAAGAGUAGCAAAUACUUAAGAAAUCCUUGGAUACUGGAAUUCAGUCAAUGUAUGCCAAAUAAACUGGAUGAGUGAAAGAUUGUAUUUGAAGUUCUGUGCUUGUCCAUCUUUGCUGUUUUUUCAUAUGCUUAGAAAAUGACAAAAGUUGUUUUAACAAGUGACCCAGUAAAGACAUGAAAAUGUAAAAUAAUUCUUGUAAGAAAAGAAAAAUUGUAAAUGUUUUCUUAUACAAUGUAUUCUAGAUGACAAAGAAUGUGUUUGACUAAGUUUUUGAAAAUGACAAAAUAAAUUCUCUUUUGUGUAAUUAAAAAAUGAUAAUGGUU
Molecule: long non-coding RNA, 753 nt
Organism: Saccostrea cuccullata (small rock oyster)
Lineage: Eukaryota; Metazoa; Mollusca; Bivalvia; Ostreida; Ostreidae
Exons: 2
Source: RefSeq, a predicted model, not a curated record